Arabidopsis lyrata subsp. lyrata is the source of this 989-nucleotide long non-coding RNA. RefSeq lists it as uncharacterized. The transcript is spliced from 7 exons. Lineage: Eukaryota; Viridiplantae; Streptophyta; Magnoliopsida; Brassicales; Brassicaceae. The record is from RefSeq and is a predicted model, not a curated record.
UUAAUUUUGGGGUGGAGAAGCUUCUCUCUAAAUGCAAAAUCUGGCUUUCAGUUUUGGCAUUAUCUAAGGACACUGCAUUGCCGAAACUAGGACUGACUGACCUUAUUCAGAUGUGGAGUUUUGGUCUCGAGCAUGCUGGAGAAUUUGUGCCAGAUCUCUCUGUGGCCUAUCUUUCAAAGAAAUUCGUAUGUACCACUUACUCUUCCAAUUUAUCCUUCCUAGUAGCAUUAAACAUCCUCACCUGACUGUAGACAGUGAGAUGCAUCUUGCUGAUGCACUUCUUAUUUGGCUUGAUGCCGGCAGAAGAAUGUCGGACUUUUCAGAGAGUAGUAGUAGUCAGGAUAACACAAUCAACUUGAUGGAACAGCUAACGUUUAGAAGGCUGCGCUUUAUUUUGGGGUGGCGAGGCUUCUCUCUAAAUGCAAAAGCUGGCUUUCAGUUUUGGCAUCAUCGAAUGACACCGCAUUACCGAAACUAGAAUUGUCUGACCUUAUUCAGAUUUGGAGUUUUGGUCUCGAGCAUGCUGGAGAAUUUGUGCCAGAUCUCUCUGUGGCCUAUCUUUCAAAGAAAUUCGUAUGUACCACUUACUCUUCCAAUUUAUCCUUCCUAGUAGCAUUAAACAUCCUCACCUGACUGUAGACAGUGAGAUGCAUCUUGCUGAUGCACUUCUUAUUUGGCUUGAUGCCGGCAGAAGAAUGUCGGACUUUUCAGAGAGUAGUAGUAGUCAGGAUAACACAAUCAACUUGAUGGAACAGCUAACGUUUAGAAGGCUGCGCUUUAUUUUGGGGUGGCGAGGCUUCUCUCUAAAUGCAAAAGCUGGCUUUCAGUUUUGGCAUCAUCGAAUGACACCGCAUUACCGAAACUAGAAUUGUCUGACCUUAUUCAGAUUUGGAGUUUUGGUCUCGAGCAUGGUUAGAAUCUUGCGCGAAAUCUCUUAUUAGUUGUUAAAUUAGAUCUUGCGAAAAAUUUCGUAUGUACCACUUACACUU